This is a long non-coding RNA of Hyposmocoma kahamanoa, 1202 nucleotides long. RefSeq lists it as uncharacterized. NCBI's taxonomy places the organism in Eukaryota, Metazoa, Arthropoda, Insecta, Lepidoptera, Cosmopterigidae. The transcript has 3 exons. The record is from RefSeq and is a predicted model, not a curated record.
AGAAAAACCCAAAGAAAAACCCAAAGAAAAACCUAAACAAAAACCCCAAAAAAAAUAGAUUUAAUUGCAACACACGCUGGCGACGGCGACGGCAACGGCGACGGCGUCGGCGUCGGCGUGGUGCCGGUGCAACUUCAUUCGAGCAAAUUGUAUGGUCGAGAGGCACUGCGAGGCGAUUGCGCAGCGAGGCUUUAGAACUGCGUGAGCCACGAUGAAUGUGGCGCUUCUGACCGUAGAGUACACAGUCUGUGCUGACACCCGCUGUAGAUGUUCAAUAGAAACAUACUAAUCGUGCCGUUAUACUGAAAUAAAAGAAAAAAAUAUGAGACUACCAAACAAUAAAUAUUUCUUUAUGAAAGUGACGGCUGCCUGAUUGACCAUCGUGACACACCAGGUGCAAGCACCCUUGUACCAAAAAAAUUAAGCCAUUGUGCUUGCUCUCCGUGGACGACAUGGGUCUACUUAUUAAUAUGUAUAGGUAUAUAACCAACACACGACACAUGGCUACACUGGACAAUGUCGUUUCUAAUCACAACAGCCACACCGUUAAGCCUGAAUCUAAUCCAGCGAUGCGUUCUCUAUACCUAUAUUAUAUCUAUAACGUGUAUGUUGGAAAGGGGAACGAAUAUGUUGAAUUAAAAUACGAAGUUACUUAAAUCAACCCUGUUUUAUUAGUCUGUAAUUUUUACAGAUUAUAAUUAAUUAUCUAGAAUGAAUUAUCCGAACUAGUUUAGGACAAGCUUCACAGCUAGGUGAACAUAUGUUAGAACAUAUGCACCGUGUCACUGCUCCGCUGCGCGCUGCAUUUAUACCGUUGGCACAACAAGCCGCCUACUCCUGCACGCGUUGUUUACAGUUUUAUGUGUCAUUAUAGGAAGCGUCCGAUGGCGCCACCGUCCUGUACGGACAACAGCGCAUCAGACUACACAUUUUUGUUCAAAAAUCGCCUCCAGUGCAACGGAACACGAUGCGUCAAUGUGUAUUUCGAUGUGCUGUUGACUGUACAUAUUCAUGUUUUGAUCAAAAAUGAAACCAGCUUAAUUUCUUGGAUUAAAAAAUGCAAACUCCACGAACUGUCUUAUCAUUUAUACAAAUUUUAUUGAAACUUCUUGUAUAGUAUUAACAAACGGUGCUCAUAAUUCAUAAAGUUUGUACUAGCUAUAUCUAUUACGUCCUUAUUACGCAUUUUUAUUUGAAUAAAU